AAAAGCUCGUAGUGGAUUUCUGGUGGGAGUGACCGGUCCGUCCGUUCGGGAUGUGUACUAGCUGUCGUCUCUCGCCAUCCUUGGGGAGAACGGGCCUGGCAUUAGGUUGUCGGGUUCGGGAUCCCCAUCCUUUACUGUGAAAAAAAUAGAGUGUUUAAAGCAGGCUUAUGCCGUUGAAUACAUUAGCAUGGAAUAAUGAGAUAGGACUUUGGUGGUCUAUUUUGUUGGUUUGCACGCCAAGGUAAUGAUUAAUAGGGAUGGUUGGGGGUAUCCGUAUUUCGUAGUCAGAGGUGAAAUUCUUGGAUUUACGAAAGACGAACUACUGCGAAAGCAUUUACCAAGGAUGUUUUCAUUAAUCAAGAACGAAAGUUAGGGGAUCGAAGAUGAUUAGAUACCAUCGUAGUCUUAACCAUAAACUAUGCCGACUAGGGAUUGGCGGUCGUUACUGUUAUGACUCCGUCAGCACCUUAUGAGAA
RNAcentral lists this ribosomal RNA (476 nucleotides) under uncultured marine eukaryote. Its description in RNAcentral is "SSU rRNA". It matches the Rfam family "Eukaryotic small subunit ribosomal RNA", at positions 622 to 1096 of the family's 1831-position model. The record is from RNAcentral.